AAAGGAAUUGACGGGGACCCGCACAAGCAGCGGAGCAUGUGGUUUAAUUCGAAGCAACGCGAAGAACCUUACCAGGGCUUGACAUCCCCCCGGCGGCCCCUUAACCGGGGCGUCCCUUCGGGGCGGGGGAGACAGGUGGUGCAUGGUUGUCGUCAGCUCGUGUCGUGAGAUGUUGGGUUAAGUCCCGCAACGAGCGCAACCCUUGUCAUUAGUUGCCAUCAUUGAGUUGGGCACUCUAGUGAGACUGCCGGGGAUAACUCGGAGGAAGGUGGGGAUGACGUCAAAUCAUCAUGCCCCUUAUGUUCUGGGCUACACACGUGCUACAAUGGCCGGCACAACGAGAGGCGAAGCCGCGAGGCGGAGCGAAUCUCCAAAACCGGCCCCAGUUCGGAUCGCAGGCUGCAACUCGCCUGCGUGAAGUCGGAGUUGCUAGUAAUCGCGGAUCAGCACGCCGCGGUGAAUGCGUUCCCGGGUCUUGUACACACCGCCCGU
RNAcentral lists this ribosomal RNA (492 nucleotides) under uncultured bacterium. Its description in RNAcentral is "bacterial SSU rRNA". It matches the Rfam family "Bacterial small subunit ribosomal RNA", at positions 903 to 1397 of the family's 1533-position model. The record is from RNAcentral.